CGGCAUGGUGUGCUCCGUUCGAAUGACUUGUGGAAUCUGACAGGGCUGACAUCCACAACUAUCCCAAUGACAUCUAGAAAUGGAUAAAAGUUAUAAACUGCAUAGUCUGAAAUUAUAAGAAGUGUGAACAAGUUAAAAAGAUGUACACACCUGUGAGCAUUUUGUUUCUAAGUCUUGCUAUAUCGCUGAAAUCCAUGAACCGUGACGGCAGGCAAGGGAUGUCAAUGCUAGGCCCAGCUGGACGAAUCUGGGUCCGAGAGUGCAUGAUGAUGUAAUAAUCGCUUGGUAUGGCCAAUCCAAGCUGCGGUGGCAUAUCCGCCGGCUGGAACCCCAGACCUCUGAUUAAGUAUACCUCGCCAAUCCGCAGCUCGUUCUUGAAACGGUUUGCAUGCUGCCCAUAUGCUACUGCUUCCAUUUUGUCCCCCUAUCAAAGAAAGCCAAGAUUAUUUUACUUUGUUAGAAAACAGGUUUGAUCUUCUAAAAGAUACAAUCAAAGCAUAGUUCUUUGUUCUGGUUUUUAAAACAACUAUUUAGACGCGGUUGGUCCUAUAAAUUUUUGCUAGUUGUGAUGCCUUUUCAUGCAUGCACUGAUGGACAUUGUUGACUGUACAUUAAAGUUACAGUACCGUGCAUCAGACUCUAGUUUGCAUCAGAAUCUACCUUGGUGAGAUAAAAUGCGAAAUAAUUCUGCACUGUGCACCUGAUGCAGCAAACCAGAGAGGAGAAAAUAGCAAUGCAUAUGGAUAAUUUCAAUGAAUACAUCACGUCCAUGUACUGCAUUAUCUGCUAGCAUAGUUAUGCACAAGCAAAGAUAGAGCUGGGCAGUAGAUUGUCUAUAGAAGAGCAGAGGAAUAGGGAUAAUGUGGCACAAAAAUAAUUCUCACAGAUUGGUCAACGAGGAUGCCUCGGUACAUAACAUCUCCAUUUCUAGUAUAUCUGAUUCGUCCAGAAAUAAUUCUUGCAGUUGUCUCCCAUGAACUGCUGUACGUGUGCAACUCCUCGACAUUGCGGAAUCUUAUAUAGCUGCUAUAUAAGAAAGAGAAACAUGGGAAAAAUGAUUAUCCAUGAGUUGGGUAAUAAUUUCUGAUGGUAUUGAUGCAGGAGAGAAAUCGCACCUUGUGAUUGGAGGAGGCAAGAUGGCGGGAGCCGGGACCAGGACAGAUGAGAUAUCGCAGUUACCUUGUGAUUGGAGGAGGCAAGACGGCGGGAGCUGGCACCGGGGAGUGCAGGACUCGAGUUUACCUGGUGAUUGGAGGAGGCAAGACGGCAGGAGCUAGGACAGGUGACGGUGCCAUCACCCUCUUCGAGCCUGGGCAACCGAGAAUGUAUCGAGUCGCCAUGGCGGUAGCUUCAGGACAGGUCAGCUGGAAGGAUCAAGUGGGGGUGUAAGACCAGCUCGAGCGUGAUGGGCAGGCGGGAAGCACAAAAAUUGGUUUUGGCGCCUAUAUAUAUGCUGAUAGGACGGUAAUGGUGGAAGAAAUUUUUGGUGAAGUAAUGGUGGUUGAUGAUGGCGAUAAUUUAGUUGUAGUUGAGCGAUGUUUCUGGAAGCGAUGCUGGGAGAGGAUGAAGCUUCGUUUCUGGGAGCGAUGCUGGGACAGGGCGAAGGGAAGGACCAAGUUGGGCUUGGGCUUGGCCCAGUUAGGAUGGUGCAGGGCGAUUGUAAAGGAGGGGACGAAGGAACGACGACGAAGCGUACGUACCGCCUGAUGACGGAACUUGUUCCCCCUUUUUAAGUAGUAG
This is a non-coding RNA of Lolium perenne, 1740 nucleotides long. NCBI's taxonomy places the organism in Eukaryota, Viridiplantae, Streptophyta, Magnoliopsida, Poales, Poaceae. The record is from RefSeq and is a predicted model, not a curated record.